This 76-nucleotide ribosomal RNA is filed under the name Sporosarcina quadrami. Its description in RNAcentral is "partial 16S ribosomal RNA". It matches the Rfam family "Bacterial small subunit ribosomal RNA", at positions 1 to 76 of the family's 1533-position model. Lineage: Bacteria; Bacillati; Bacillota; Bacilli; Caryophanales; Caryophanaceae. The record is from RNAcentral.
AUUAUGGAGAGUUUGAUCCUGGCUCAGGACGAACGCUGGCGGCGUGCCUAAUACAUGCAAGUCGAGCGGAUUGAAG